GGAUCAAGGAAUCGGUCAUGCCUUGGUAUGUACUGGUUUUAUUGGUUCUCACCUUCUAAAGAACCAUAGUGUCAUUUAUUUGAUGUUAUGGAGGAUUAGGACUGUUACCUUGAAAAUUAGAGUGUUUAAAGCAAGCUUACGCUUGAAUACAUUAGCAUGGAAUAAUGAAAUAGGACAUCAGAUUCUAUUUUGUUGGUUUCUAGGAUCGAUGUAAUGAUUAAUAGGGAU
This 228-nucleotide ribosomal RNA is filed under the name uncultured Glomeromycotina. RNAcentral's name for it is "partial 18S ribosomal RNA". The stretch from base 46 to 228 matches the Rfam family "Eukaryotic small subunit ribosomal RNA", at positions 693 to 879 of the family's 1831-position model. The record is from RNAcentral. Lineage: Eukaryota; Fungi; Glomeromycota.